AUCGUCAUUAAAAUUAAAAAAAGUAAAACAUCACAAAAAAUCAUUUCUUGAACAUUUCUUGUUCUCAAAGUCAACCCCAACCACCAGACCAUAUCCCACCCCUCUCUCCUUGUUACCGGGAUGCACACCAAUCCAUUCCUAUCGUCGGUUACACUUCCUCCGGUGGCCACUUGUGAGAAUGCGAAGGUUUGUCACACGACACCAUCCCCACCACACAAAACCUGAGGAGCUCCACGCUUUCUUUGUUUUGUGUGUCUUGUGCUGCAGACAAAAUUUGAGGAAAAGGGUCAAAAGGCACUGGUUUUCUUACAUGGAUUCCCAGAAAUAUGGUAUACAUGGAGGCAUAAGAUGAUUGUUGCAGCAAAUGCUGGCUAUCGGACUAUUGCCUUUGAUUUCAGAGGCUAUGGACUUUCUCAACAUCAUGCGAAGCCACAAAAAGCAAACUUACUUGACCUUGUUGAUGAUGUCGUGGGUCUGUUGGAUUCAUUAGGCAUUACCAAGGUCUAGUUCCCCCAGCAUGAAAGAUAUUGAAGCCUAUUCUGCAAUAAAUACAGCAAAAUUGGAUGAAGCAGAACUUGCCAAAUCUGUUCCUCACAAUAUAUGUUUGGAGGUACCAUUCCAAGUAUGAUCAAUAUUUAUAAGCACCAAUUAUGAAGUACUUUUCUAUCCUAUUAGUUUCAUGUCUGGCUUAAUCAAAUCCACUGACAACUAUAGACAAUGUUUUUAUGGACAUGGACAAAUCUAGGUUUUGAGGUUUGGGGGCAGUUGCUCCCCAAGAUUUUUAUUUUUUAAUAUGUAUAACUACAUGCAUAUAAACUCCAUGAAUAGAUAAUAAGAACAAUUAGUACAUCUACUGCUUAUGUUCUAGCUAGUUCGUGUGAAAUGUAAAUCAGAAAACAAAUUAAGAGAUGCGAGUGGAUCAAGAGACAUUGGAUUGUUUCAGCUUAACCAAUGGUCUUGAAUUCGAGUUCAACAUAUGUUGUUCAAUGAGAGUUUUUUUGUCCAUAAUGAUGAUUCUAUCCAACUCAGCCUGCCUCCUAUGGAAAAUACAUUUGGUUCAAGCAAUAUAUUUGUGACAUACGUUGCAGUUUUCCCCAAGGGUGUGUUUCACAAUGAGAUUGAGAUCAUUUUAUGAUUCCUAUUAUAAGCCUGAGUUAAAUAUCAUCUCAUAAUCCAAAUAUAGAUUAGACAAAGAAUAAGUCUCUGGCAAAGUAUUGGUUCAUAAGGUGUUGAAGAACUUGUUGGCUUGGAAAGGAUAGUUAAUUCUUACUUAUUAGUUUUCAUUUGUUUAUAGUAAAUAAUUGGGUGAGAAUUAAAAGAUACUGAUUGCUUAGGACAAAAAACAAGUGAAUUGAAAGAAAAAGGGAAGGAAUUGAAAGGAAGGUAAGGGCAGCUGAGGUUAUAUUAUAUAGAGACAAGGCAGUGGCAGGAGAGAGCCUAUAGGGCAGGGUUGUCUGUUUUUCAUUUUCUCUUAGUUUAUCCAUUUGCUUUUCUUUUUCUUACCUUACGGACAGGGACCAUCCACAACACACUCAAUCAAUGGCACUAAAAGUAAAAAAAAAAAAAAUAAGUGUACACUCUCCCCCAUAUUGGCAUUUCUCUACUACAACUAGCUAACCUUAGUUAAGCCUUCACCCAUAUAAAAAUUAAUUAACCAAUAUCAUUGCCCCAUAUAUUUUUCUUCUUUGGCAAUAAAAUGAGGGUGCAUGGGAAAAUAGAAUGCUUAGUGGCCACUACAGGGGUUCCCCCCUCCCCCUUUUCCCACUCAGAAAUCAAAAGCAUUGCAGUACACAGAGCAUUUAGUUAACACUGGUUUUAUUUCAUUGCAAACUCUAUGAGUUGUAUCAUACCAACAUUAUUUGAUUGUAGUUUUAUGACAAUAGUCAUAAACAUGAGUAAAAACCAACACCUAAUCCCAUUCAAAUGCAAGGCAAUGAUUACACACAAACUUGGAUUCUCUCAAGUGAAAAUAUGUAUCAAGUAUGGAUCUAUCUGCCCUUUUGAAUUAAAGUAUCUUAGAAAUUUAACUAGUUUUAAAUCAAAGGUAGAUACAAACCUACAAUAACAAUAACUAGUUUUAAAGCAAGAACUCAAUAACAAUAUUACAAUAUAUCUGUAGAUGAAAAGACUUAUAGAAGCUGAGCAUAAAACAAAUAGAUUUGCUCAAUUGAAUUAAUCCACAAUAUAAGGGGGUCACAGAAGAGAAAAUUGAUGCAAAACAGUAGUAAAUGCUAACAAAUAUUGAAACUCAAGGAAAUCAAGAGAUCCCAGAGCUGCAUCACAUUGCUGCUAAAAUAUCAUUUCAGGACAAAGAGCAUACUGUUAUGAACCAAGUAUCCCAAAAGCUUAAGCUAUUACGUGAAGGCACAUGAAUGGUUUCAUACAUAUUAAAUCUUUAAUGUGCCCUCUCAUGAAUGGUUUCAUACUAUAUUAAAGCUAGCAUGGUGAAUUUUAACCAUAAACCCCCACGCUUCUCCGUCAUGGCCUAGACCAUAAACCCCAAACCCCAAUGCUCAUUCCGUCACACAUCAAACCCAAUGUCAUCAACGCCCACAGUCACUCCAACCCCAAUGGAAUUCAACAAAGAAGACAUGAAAAUGCAAGAGAGGGGUUCAUACCUUCUAAUGACGAGAGUAAUGUGGUGGAGGAGUUUAGACUUCGACGUCGACGGGGGCACGAUGGUCUUGAGAAGACGACAAUGAUUGCAAGUUCAAUACGAUGAGGUUUAAAGCUAGGUAAGGCACAAGAGUGUUUCAGAGACUUAAGUGAGAACAACGUGUGCAAUCUCUAACCAUACAAAGACGGUUUUCGGGACUAGACCGUCUUUGUAUGGUAAUAAAACAUUUAUAAGUUUGCCAUCAAACAAUAUUUAAAGACGGGUUUAUGCAAACGUCAUCGUUUAGUUCUUGUUAAUUAUGAAAACGCCACCGCCGCACUUUCUAAGACGGUCCUUUACAACUGUCUUAGAAUCGCCGACGUAAAAGGAUAAAUUUUUAGUAGUGAUGGUAUCUUCUUUAUUGUUUUUACAUAGGUCAUGAAUAAUAUUUUACCACUUAUAAUAUUGGGGAACAAGUAAAACUCCAUAUCCUAAAAUAUGGAAUUACCAAUUUCUGGUUUUGAUUAUCCAUUCUAAUAUAUUUUGAAUUGUUCAGUUGCAUGGACGAUUUGGAAAAACGUUAUUUGGAGCUUUUCUCUGCAUAAUCCUUCCACCAUUGGAGAGUUCCUUGGGGAUUUUGAUGGUUGAUAAUGGAUGAGAAACAAGUAGAUGGAGAAACUUUGUUUCUGGGUGUGCAAUGUUUGUAGUAAUUUAUUGUGCUUAUAUCUAGGUUUGUCAUGCAGGCAUGUCAUUGUUGCAAUCAUUUUCAAAAAUUACAAAUCUGAGGACUAUUGUGAUGGGUGUUGACAUUGGGGUUAUAUAAUGCAAUACAUGACUAUUACAUCCAUCCUACCAGGAGUCAAUAGUAUUGGGUGAGGACACCAUAUGACAAACCAAAGCCACCCUCAAAUGAAGAGAAGACCUGGACAACCUAAGAAGGCUAGGAGAAAGGACACAACUGAGGGAGAAAGCAGCAACAAUAGGAUUAUGAUGAAAAGGAAUUUCCCCACUGUUACUUGUAUGAGAUAUGGCCUUGAAGGUCACAACAGUAGGGGCUGCAAUAAUGGUGGUGUGCCACCUAAACCCAAAAAAUGGAACAUUAGGCAUUAGACGUAUAUUAGAUGUGUUGUGGUGUCUUUGUUUUUUGGUAAUGUAUAGUCAUGGUAGAAAUUUUACUACUACUUGGGAACUUAGGUAUGUUAUGUUUAAUGAACAAUAGUUUUAUUUUCUCUGAAUGCUUGUUUUAGCUUUGUGGACUACGUACAUAUUAUCUUAUUUCAUGGAUAAUUCUGCUAUUAA
Molecule: long non-coding RNA, 3895 nt
Organism: Glycine soja
Lineage: Eukaryota; Viridiplantae; Streptophyta; Magnoliopsida; Fabales; Fabaceae
Exons: 3
Source: RefSeq, a predicted model, not a curated record